RNAcentral lists this ribosomal RNA (658 nucleotides) under uncultured fungus. RNAcentral describes it as "eukaryotic LSU rRNA". It matches the Rfam family "Eukaryotic large subunit ribosomal RNA", at positions 24 to 664 of the family's 3401-position model. Lineage: Eukaryota; Fungi. The record is from RNAcentral.
CCCGCUGAACUUAAGCAUAUCAAUAAGCGGAGGAAAAGAAACUAACAAGGAUUCCCCUAGUAACUGCGAGUGAAGAGGGAAAAGCUCAAAUUUAAAAUCUGGCAGUCUAUGAUUGUCCGAGUUGUAAUCUAGAGAAGCAUUAUCCGUGCUGGACCGUGUACAAGUCUCCUGGAAUGGAGCGUCAUAGAGGGUGAGAAUCCCGUCUUUGACACGGACUACCAGUGCAUUGUGAUGUGCUCUCAAAGAGUCGCGUUGUUUGGGAAUGCAGCUCAAAAUGGGUGGUAAAUGCCAUCUAAAGCUAAAUAUUGGCGAGAGACCGAUAGCGAACAAGUACCGUGAGGGAAAGAUGAAAAGAACUUUGGAAAGAGAGUUAAACAGUACGUGAAAUUGCUGAAAGGGAAACGCUUGAAGUCAGUCACGUUGACUCGGAAUCAGCUCUGCUUUUGCUGGGUGUACUUUCUUGUCAAUGGGUCAGCAUCAAUUUUGACCAUUGGAUAAAGUUGCUGGGAAUGUAGCAUCCUUUUGGAUGUGUUAUAGCCUGGUGAUGCAUACAGUGGUUGGGAUUGAGGAAUUCAGCACGCCACCAGGCCGGGUUUUGACCACGUUCGUGCUUAGGAUGCUGGCAUAAUGGCUUUAAUUGACCCGUCUUGAAACACGG